RNAcentral lists this ribosomal RNA (601 nucleotides) under uncultured bacterium. RNAcentral describes it as "bacterial SSU rRNA". It matches the Rfam family "Bacterial small subunit ribosomal RNA", at positions 728 to 1330 of the family's 1533-position model. The record is from RNAcentral.
UCCAGCACGCGACUGACGCUCAUGCACGAAAGCGUGGGUAUCGAACAGGAUUAGAUACCCUGGUAGUCCACGCGGUAAACGAUGAUAACUAGUUAUUCGUCCCGAUUGAGGGGUGAGUGACCGAGCGAAAGCGUUAAGUUAUCCACCUGGGGAGUACGCCGGCAACGGUGAAACUCAAAGGAAUUGACGGGGGCCCGCACAAGCGGAGGAACAUGUGGUUUAAUUCGAUGAUACGCGAGGAACCUUACCCGGGCUCAAACGCAUGGCGCUAGACCCUGAAAGGGGUUGUUCUUCGGACGUCAUGCGAGGUGCUGCAUGGUUGUCGUCAGCUCGUGCCGUGAGGUGUCGGCUUAAGUGCCAUAACGAGCGCAACCCCCAUCUUCAGUUGCCCCCGGGUGAAGCCGGGCACUCUGGAGAGACUGCCGGCGCAAGCUGUGAGGAAGGCGGGGAUGACGUCAAAUCAGCACGGCCCUUACGUCCGGGGCGACACACGUGUUACAAUGGCGGGGCACAGCGGGAAGCCAGGCGGCGACGCCGAGCUGAUCCCGAAAACCCGUCUCAGUUCGGAUCGGAGUCUGCAACCCGACUCCGUGAAGCUGGA